CAGUAGCCACGGUAAUACGAAGGGGGCUAGCGUUGUUCGGAUUUACUGGGCGUAAAGCGCACGUAGGCGGAUCGAUCAGUCAGGGGUGAAAUCCUGGAGCUCAACUCCAGAACUGCCUUUGAUACUGUCGAUCUCGAGUCCUGAAGAGGUGAGUGGAACUCCUAGUGUAGAGGUGGAAUUCGUAGAUAUUAGGAAGAACACCAGUGGCGAAGGCGGCUCACUGGUCCGAUACUGACGCUGAGGUGCGAAAGCGUGGGGAGCAAACAGGACUAGAUACCCCUGUAGUCCCUGUCUCUUAUAC
Molecule: ribosomal RNA, 301 nt
Filed under: uncultured bacterium
Lineage: Bacteria
Description: partial 16S ribosomal RNA
Rfam family: Bacterial small subunit ribosomal RNA
Source: RNAcentral